CCUGUCACUGAUUUAAAAAAAUCAAUGAGUACAGCAUUCUGUAUGGAUAACAAACUCCAAGCUGCGUGAGGACCAACAGCAGCUCCUCGCCCUGGAGUGUCACCAUCACCUCCCUGUUUCUCUGGGGCUCGGGACUGAUGUCUGAGCCGAAAGGCCACACGCUGCCGCACAGGCAGGUGCCGGGUUCACCCACCGAGGACACCAGACCCUAAAAUAAUUUCACCAUGGGCUUUAAUUGCGGUGCGAGUAGAUGACGCGCGUUUCUCACUGGGGAGCCGCAGGCUGAGCCCGGCAGUUUGGCAGGCAGCACUCGCUCCGUUCACACCGGUAAUCUCAGCCCUUUUGCUGCACACGCAGCUUCUCAGCAUCUUGCUGAGAUUUCGGUACUGAAACCUCACUGAAACCAGGUGCUCCCCUGUUUGUUAGAAAUGUCACCGAUUGCCACUGAGGACAGACUGGAAUCCAAGUAUGUGGGCCAUCCCAGCUGGUCCGUUGAUUAAACCCCCUCGCCCUUAACCAGACAGGCAGACCCCAUUGGCUGCCGGUCAUUCCUUUUUUUUUUCUUUUUUGUCUCCUUCAUGCUUUUAGGGGAACUCUGAGAUGGCAGCCCGAAGCAGUGAUGGAGCAGCUGGUGAGGGGUGCAGCCCUGCAAGCACAGGUGGAAGCGGUGCACGUGUGGGACCAGAUGGGGCUGAGCCUGGCUCCACCCCUCCCUCCCCUCAUUUAAGGGCUGGCAGCCCCACAGGCAGCGUUUCUUCCUGGAGAUGCCUCCUGUGGAUUGCUGUGUGAGCUCUGGUUCUUGGAAAGAGGUGAGUGAUUCUUUCUUUCUUGCAGAGUUCUGAUCUGUGCCUUUCUGUGGGGCUCCUAAGCUGGUUUACAGUAGCUGUGUCUGCUCUGCCCCUGCUCAUGCUGCCUUCCAGUUGUUCUCUGAGGGGAGCAAAGGGGUUAGCUGCCUUUUUCUGAAGCGGUCAUGGAGGAACUGAUGCUCGUUCCUUUCUUUUGCUCCCAUCUGUUUCUGGAACGCUUCCGUCAGCCCCAAGGUUUCCUCUGCAGCUCUUGUUCAGCUCAGUACCUUCCCGUGAAGUCUCUGUUCCCUCUUUCAUGGUUCUCGUUGCGGAAUCUCCACCCUGGGACUCCAAACUGGACAGACGGAAGGCUUUCUGGGGCUGCUCUGGUUAGUGCUUUAAGCUCUGUGCAAUCUGUGGAGCAGACGGUGGAACACCAUGAAGCCCUCGUUCGUGCGUCGCUGCCCAAUCAGCUCCGUGGCUGGCGAUAGAGUGAGGUGCGUGUAUCCGGCUGGGAGCUGAGCUUAAGAAAAGCCCCGGGCCUCAGAGGCCGUUUUCUUCAUCCUCACGUAGUACAAUCCAGUCUCCACUGCUCCAGCAUGCUGAACACAAGUAUUCUGUGCCUGUUUUGUCUGGUUCUCUCCUAGAGCUCCAUUACGAAUUUGUCAGUAGUAACAGAUGGCAGGGCACAGUUCUCCGAGCGCCUUGUGGGCGACCACCCCAGGGUCCCGGGGCUCUUCCUGUUUUUAUGGCAGAUCUGGCUUCGUAUUUAUAGGAAACAAAGGACCGUCCUCUACUGGACCGCUCCGUCUGGAUCACCCCAGAUAGCUCCAUCCCAAUUGUCAGGGGAUGCUGUUAGUUUCCCAGUCCGUACGACACCCGAUCUCCCCAGCCCUCUUCCUUCCAUCCCCUGAGCCCCGUUAAGUCGCUGGCUGUGCAGCUGUGGGACCCAACAGUGUGAUGAAGCAACGCCUCUGGUGCGCUGAAUGCUGGGACCGGCACAGAGAGGCUCCGUGGCUGACGUGGAUCUUCCUGUUUGGACUGCUUGCUGAGUUUCCCCGGAGCUGUUGAGCACGCGGGCUUCCCCGCCUGCCCUGAUUGCUCACCAGGCCAUCCACGUGCUUUGUGUCAUCGUGCCUCACGGCUUCAGGGACAGGGCGUCCACCGCAUCUCCGGGCAGCCUGUUCCACUGCACAGAAUCACAGAAUGACAGAAUGGCCCGGGUUGGAA
Meleagris gallopavo (turkey) is the source of this 2015-nucleotide non-coding RNA. The record is from RefSeq and is a predicted model, not a curated record. NCBI's taxonomy places the organism in Eukaryota, Metazoa, Chordata, Aves, Galliformes, Phasianidae.